AUAUAGAGGACAGUGGCGGACGGGUGAGUAACGCGUGAGGAACCUGCCUUUCAGAGAGGGACAACAGUUGGAAACGACUGCUAAUACCGCAUGACACAUAGGUGUCGCAUGGCACUUAUGUCAAAGAUUUAUCGCUGAUAGAUGGGCUUGCGUCUGAUUAGCUAGUUGGUGGGGUAACGGCCUACCAAGGCGACGAUCAGUAGCCGAACUGAGAGGAUGAACGGCCACACUGGAACUGAGACACGGUCCAGACUCC
RNAcentral lists this ribosomal RNA (256 nucleotides) under uncultured bacterium. Its description in RNAcentral is "partial 16S ribosomal RNA". It matches the Rfam family "Bacterial small subunit ribosomal RNA", at positions 83 to 339 of the family's 1533-position model. The record is from RNAcentral.